This 254-nucleotide ribosomal RNA is filed under the name uncultured bacterium. RNAcentral's name for it is "partial 16S ribosomal RNA". It matches the Rfam family "Bacterial small subunit ribosomal RNA", at positions 524 to 776 of the family's 1533-position model. The record is from RNAcentral.
UACAGAGGUCCCAAGCGUUUGUUCGGAUUCACUGGGCGUAAAGGGUGCGUAGGCGGUCAGGUAAGUCUGAUGUGAAAUCUCUGGGCUUAACCCAGAAAUGGCAUUGGAUACUAUUUGGCUUGAGAGUUGGAGGGGGGACUGGAAUUCUUGGUGUAGCAGUGAAAUGCGUAGAUAUCAAGAGGAACACCGGUGGCGAAGGCGGGUCUCUGGGCCGAUACUGACGCUGAGGAGCGAAAGCGUGGGGAGCGAACAGG